This 228-nucleotide long non-coding RNA is filed under the name Panax ginseng (ginseng). RNAcentral describes it as "long non-coding RNA (PGIN_LNC014187)". The record is from RNAcentral. Lineage: Eukaryota; Viridiplantae; Streptophyta; Magnoliopsida; Apiales; Araliaceae.
UAUAGAUGGUUUUAUAUAUAUAGAGAUUUCUUUUCGUCAAAUUUUGAUUCAAGUUAAACUAGCUAAGCUAGCUAACUGGUCUAGUGUUGAAGGAGGGAGGGAGCUAGCUAGGUCAAGAGCUUAAUUUAGUUUUUCUUUUAGAAGAGAAAUUUUAGUAGAAGUAGAAGUGCAAGUGUUAGCUAGCUAGCUACAUGCAUAUAUAUAGCUAGCAAAGGAAGUAGUGAAGAG